UUGGGAUAAGCCUGGGAAACUGGGUCUAAUACCGGAUAGGACCAUGGCCUUCAUGGGUUGUGGUGGAAAGCUUUUGCGGUGUGGGAUGGGCCCGCGGCCUAUCAGCUUGUUGGUGGGGUAAUGGCCUACCAAGGCGACGACGGGUAGCCGGCCUGAGAGGGUGACCGGCCACACUGGGACUGAGAUACGGCCCAGACUCCUACGGGAGGCAGCAGUGGGGAAUAUUGCACAAUGGGCGCAAGCCUGAUGCAGCGACGCCGCGUGAGGGAUGACGGCCUUCGGGUUGUAAACCUCUUUCAGCAGGGACGAAGCGAAAGUGACGGUACCUGUAGAAGAAGGACCGGCCAACUACGUGCCAGCAGCCGCGGUAAUACGUAGGGUCCGAGCGUUGUCCGGAAUUACUGGGCGUAAAGAGCUCGUAGGUGGUUUGUCGCGUUGUUCGUGAAAACUCACAGCUUAACUGUGGGCGUGCGGGCGAUACGGGCAGACUGGAGUACUGCAGGGGAGACUGGAAUUCCUGGUGUAGCGGUGGAAUGCGCAGAUAUCAGGAGGAACACCGGUGGCGAAGGCGGGUCUCUGGGCAGUAACUGACGCUGAGGAGCGAAAGCGUGGGGAGCGAACAGGAUUAGAUACCCUGGUAGUCCACGCCGUAAACGGUGGGUACUAGGUGUGGGUUUCCUUCCUUGGGAUCCGUGCCGUAGCUAACGCAUUAAGUACCCCGCCUGGGGAGUACGGCCGCAAGGCUAAAACU
Molecule: ribosomal RNA, 751 nt
Filed under: Mycobacterium aquiterrae
Lineage: Bacteria; Bacillati; Actinomycetota; Actinomycetes; Mycobacteriales; Mycobacteriaceae
Description: bacterial SSU rRNA
Rfam family: Bacterial small subunit ribosomal RNA
Source: RNAcentral